This 594-nucleotide ribosomal RNA is filed under the name Holtermanniella festucosa. Its description in RNAcentral is "eukaryotic LSU rRNA". It matches the Rfam family "Eukaryotic large subunit ribosomal RNA", at positions 75 to 658 of the family's 3401-position model. The record is from RNAcentral. Lineage: Eukaryota; Fungi; Basidiomycota; Tremellomycetes; Holtermanniales.
AUCCCUAGUACGGCGAGUGAAGCGGGAUGAGCUCAAAUUUGUAAUCUGGUGGACUCAGUUCAUCCGAGUUGUAAUCUAUAGAAAAGUUUUCCGCGCCGGACCGUGUCUAAGUCCCUUGGAACAGGGUGUCAGAGAGGGUGAGAAUCCCGUGCUUGAUACGACCACCGGUGCUAUGUGAUACUUUUUCAACGAGUCGAGUUGUUUGGGAAUGCAGCUCAAAAUGGGUGGUAAAUUCCAUCUAAAGCUAAAUAUUGGCGAGAGACCGAUAGCGAACAAGUACCGUGAGGGAAAGAUGAAAAGCACUUUGGAAAGAGAGUUAAACAGUACGUGAAAUUGUUAAAAGGGAAACGAUUGAAGUCAGUCGUGCUCUCUGGGACUCAGCCGGUUCUUCCGGUGUAUUUCCCAGUGAGCGGGUCAACAUCAGUUUAGAUCGCUGGAUAAGGUCAUUAGGAAUGUGGCUCCCUCGGGAGUGUUAUAGCCUAGUGUCGCAUACAGUGGUUUAGACUGAGGAACGCAGCUCGCCUUUAUGGCCGGGGUUCGCCCACGUCCGAGCUUAGGAUGUUGACAUAAUGGCUUUAAACGACCCGUCUUGAA